CCUCUUUACCCUCCAAGAUGUAUCUGUUAGAAAAGAACGAAAAAAGUAAAAUGUAAUUAGUAAUGCUCAUUUAACAAUGAGUUUGCAUUUGGAUACCCAGGGGAUUAAAAUCAAAGAAUUUAAGAGUUUAGGUUCCUUAAAUGAGAUUUAUGAUGCAUAAUUUUUCUUGAUUGGGUAGAUUCACUGGAGGAAGAAUUGUUCAGUAUAAAGUUCUAAAAAGGUAUAAUUUCAAAUACAUUCUUGGAUUUGAUCGAAACAAUGUUUUUCCCCACCUUUACAAAUCCAAAUCUUUGUUUAUAUAAAUUGGCGCAAAACCAAAUUCUCUGACCAAAAUAAACUCUCAUUAAAAACAAAACUUUCCAAAGGACCAAGUGUAUCAUGAGAUUUUGAGACUUGACUAUCUUGGCCAACCAUUAUAAUUAUUGCAGCUUUGUUGUAACAUUAUAAAGGUCCCUUUUUUAAUCAUCGUAAAUAUGCAAAGGGAACAAAAAGCAUAGAGAUGCAAGAACAAGAGAGAUCUGAUAGAUGAUACAAAUUCAACAUAUUAGUUUGCCAUAUCAGGACAAUGAAACCACGCCCAAAUAAUUAAUAGCAACUAAAUGAAAGAAAAGAUGAGAAAAUACAUACCCAUCAGUACGGCCACACUGACCAGGGCGGGA
Molecule: unclassified non-coding RNA, 659 nt
Filed under: Hevea brasiliensis (rubber tree)
Lineage: Eukaryota; Viridiplantae; Streptophyta; Magnoliopsida; Malpighiales; Euphorbiaceae
Source: RNAcentral